Molecule: small nuclear RNA, 103 nt
Filed under: Pogona vitticeps (central bearded dragon)
Lineage: Eukaryota; Metazoa; Chordata; Lepidosauria; Squamata; Agamidae
Source: RNAcentral
CAGCUUCAUCAGCACAUAUAAUAAAAUUGGAAUGAUACAGAGAAGAUUAGCAUGGCCCCAUCUUUGCAAGGACAUGAAAAUUCAUGAAGCGUGACUAAUGCAU